GGAUCAAAGUCAGGUCACAAGGUU
RNAcentral lists this non-coding RNA (24 nucleotides) under Arabidopsis thaliana (thale cress). The record is from RNAcentral. Lineage: Eukaryota; Viridiplantae; Streptophyta; Magnoliopsida; Brassicales; Brassicaceae.